UACGGGGGGGGUAAGCGUUGUUCGGAAUUACUGGGCGUAAAGGGCUCGUAGGCGGCCAACUAAGUCAGACGUGAAAUCCCUCAGCUUAACUGGGGAACUGCGUCUGAUACUGGAUGGCUUGGAUUCGGGAGAGGAAUGCGGAAUUCCAGGUGUAGCGGUGAAAUGCGUAGAUAUCAGGAGGAACACCGGUGGCGAAGGCGGGUCUCUGGGCCGAUACUGACGCUGAGGAGCGAAAGCGUGGGGAGCAAACAGG
Molecule: ribosomal RNA, 253 nt
Filed under: uncultured bacterium
Lineage: Bacteria
Description: partial 16S ribosomal RNA
Rfam family: Bacterial small subunit ribosomal RNA
Source: RNAcentral